Molecule: long non-coding RNA, 505 nt
Filed under: Elaeis guineensis (African oil palm)
Lineage: Eukaryota; Viridiplantae; Streptophyta; Magnoliopsida; Arecales; Arecaceae
Description: long non-coding RNA (EGUI_LNC063198)
Source: RNAcentral
UAACCCAAUUAAGAAUCUAAUUUAAUCAAAUUAAAUUAAAUUUAAAUCUGACUUAAUUUUCUAAUCAAAUUAGAAAUUAGAUUGACCCAAGUCCUAGUUGAACUAGGACUAGUUUUUCCUUGCACUUGGCUUAUCCAAUAAACUAAUUGGACUUGAUCCAAUCAAGCCCAAACUAAAUCUAAUUAAAUCAUAUUUAAUUAGAUUUAAUCUCAGCCCAUUGGCUUAAUCAAAUUAAGCCAAUUAGCAAUCGAAUUGCUAAUCGAUCCUCCUGCAACACUUGCACUGGGUUAAAUGUCAAUCGUAUUGAUCAUUUAACCCUAGAACGAUUCUUAAUCGUUGAUCAACCAUUCGAUCGGAUCAUGAACUCUAAUGUGUGUGACCUCAUAGGUCCGAACCUUAGCCGAUAGUACAGGAACAAAUUCUUAUACCAGUCGAAGUGACCAUUUAGCAAUGGUACCCGACGACCGGAUAGGUCGAAUGUGUAGAACAACAUCCUUAGAAUCCA